Molecule: ribosomal RNA, 479 nt
Filed under: uncultured bacterium
Lineage: Bacteria
Description: partial 16S ribosomal RNA
Rfam family: Bacterial small subunit ribosomal RNA
Source: RNAcentral
AUUGAACGCUGGCGGCACGCCUAACACAUGCAAGUCGAGCGGCAGCGAGAGUAGUAGCAGUACUACUUGUCGGCGAGCGGCGGACGGGUGAGGAACACGUAGGAACUUGCCCAGAAGAGGGGGAUAACCAAGGGAAACUUUGGCUAAUACCGCAUAAACUCGAGAGAGAAAAGGUGCCCGCAAGGGUGCCGCUUGUGGAGAGGCCUGCGUCCGAUUAGCUAGUUGGUGAGGUAAAGGCUCACCAAGGCGAUGAUCGGUAGCUGGUCUGAGAGGAUGAUCAGCCAGACUGGGACUGAGACACGGCCCAGACUCCUACGGGAGGCAGCAGUAGGGAAUUUUCCACAAUGGGGGCAACCCUGAUGGAGCAACGCCGCGUGCAGGAUGAAUGCCUUCGGGUUGUAAACUGCUUUUAUCUGUGACGAUUAUGACGGUAGCAGAUGAAUAAGGACCUGCUAACUACGUGCCAGCCGCCGCAGUAA